GAUGAACGCUAGCGAUAGGCUUAACACAUGCAAGUCGAGGGGCAGCAUGGUCUUAGCUUGCUAAGACUGAUGGCGACCGGCGCACGGGUGCGUAACGCGUAUGCAACUUGCCUCACAGAGGGGGAUAACCCGUCGAAAGACGGACUAAUACCGCGUACACUCCAUCUUGGGCAUCCAAGGUAGAGGAAAUGAAAUUCGCUGUGAGAUAGGCAUGCGUCCCAUUAGCUAGUUGGUGAGGUAACGGCUCACCAAGGCGACGAUGGGUAGGGGAACUGAGAGGUUGAACCCCCACACUGGUACUGAGACACGGACCAGACUCCUACGGGAGGCAGCAGUGAGGGAGAUUGGUCAAUGGGCGAGAGCCUGAACCAGCCAAGUCGCGUGAAGGAAGACUGUCUUAGGGAUUGUAAACUUCUUUUAUACGGGAAUAACAAGAGUCACGUGUGACUCCCUGCAUGUACCGGAUGAAUAAGCAUCGGCUAACUCCGUG
This 490-nucleotide ribosomal RNA is filed under the name uncultured bacterium. RNAcentral's name for it is "partial 16S ribosomal RNA". It matches the Rfam family "Bacterial small subunit ribosomal RNA", at positions 28 to 507 of the family's 1533-position model. The record is from RNAcentral.